This 3353-nucleotide long non-coding RNA is filed under the name Nicotiana tabacum (common tobacco). RNAcentral describes it as "long non-coding RNA (NTAB_LNC010402)". The record is from RNAcentral. Lineage: Eukaryota; Viridiplantae; Streptophyta; Magnoliopsida; Solanales; Solanaceae.
AUAUUUUUUUUGAUUUUUUUUUCUUUUUUAAGAAGGAAAUCUAAAGUCUAGACCAAAGAAAAAUAUUUUGAAUUUUCACUUGAUAUCCUGAAGAAAAGACUUUGAAACAAGAAAUGCAAAAGAUAAAAAAAAACUGUUUUUGGAUUUGAAUUUUUGAUUACCUAAGGAAAAAACUCUGAAAAUAAACUAAAGAAAACGUAUUGUUGUUUUCUUUUUCGUAUAUGUACAAUGUCCUAAAGUUCUAAUAAAAAUAAAAGAAUUUUUUUUAAUGUCAUGUUUCAUCAAUUUCCAAAAGAGACACCUCAAAAGAAAAUCUUUUUGGAUUUUGGAAUUAACACCCUAAAGAAAGCUUUUAAAGAAGUACUAAAAGAAAAUUCUUUUUUUAAUUUUAGUCCUAAUAUACUAAAGAAAACAUAAAAAUAAUUCAUUUUAAGUCCUAGUUAUUAAUUGCCUUAAGGAAAAGCAACCUCAAAAUAUUCUCAUUUCUAGAAUUAGUAUUCUAAAGAAAAUUUAUAACAAAAAUAUAAAAUGCAACAUCUCUUUUUUUUGGAUUUUUGAGUUACAGCAUAUUUUCCAAAUAUAAAGCAGAAAAUACAAUAACAAAAGGCUUGACAUUACUGUACAAAACUAUAAAGUAAAAGACGACAUAAAAUGAAGAACAGACUUAAAACUUAAAAGUAAAACAAAUCUCCUCAAGCAACUCCUGACUGAGCGAUCCUAACUGAAUGGUCACGGGGUGUUUGUUAUGCUCAAACUUCGGUAAAUAAAUCCACACCUGUAUGAGAAAAUCUUAAAUCAACACUAUGUGAGACAAUAACACUCCCUACUGGACACAUGGAAGACAUGGUUGAGGCUAUUUUUGCAAACUAGCUUAUUUGGCCAAAAGGUGGCUAGAAGUGCAAAAUUUGGCUAUGACCCCGCCAAGCCAAGAACCUAAGAUUUAGUAGGAAGACCGGACCCUAUGUGGGUUGCCUACGUAUCACGCCCAGAAAGACGAGAAUCAGGUAUGCGUAGUUCGGGCAGAUUGGAUACGGGCAAGAAAUAAAAAAACAACUGACUUAUAGAAAACACAAUUUUUGUUUUUUUUUCGAAAAAUGAUGAAGCAUGUAAAAUCAUUUUGGAUUUUUUUUUUGAAAAAUGAUAAAAAGUGCAGAAUCUUUUUGAAGUUUCCAUGCUCUUUUUUUUCUUAAUAAAAUGUAACAAAAAUAUAAUUUGGCCCUACUCUCUUCAUCCUCACACUUCAGCCUCUCUUUUUUUCUCUUUUUUUUCAUUCGCCCUCAAUUAUCAUAGGCCCGUCAAAUGACCCUUUUACCCUUGAAGAAAUGCAAUAUGUAGCACAUAGGAUGCAUCAAGAUGGUCGGUUAUUUUGGGUACACCUGUCCUAGACGGACCCAACCCUUGUGUUGAGUCCCCAAAGUCAAAUGCACGUGAUGCAAGCAAACAUUCCUACUAGGGAUCCGGCAUGAGGUCUUGUUAUACUAGGUUCAAAACCUGGGUUUAUUGUUCUAGACCUAGCUUACCCGAGCGGACGGCUUGAGCCGCGGGGGGGGGGGGCAGCGUACCGGGAAUAUAGAAGCUUCACCGGCUUUGCAACUUGUCCGAACCUCAUUCUAAAUUUGGGAUAUGACUCUAACAGAAAAGAAGUCACACGAAGUGCACACUUCUUAAUGAUUUAGAAGACUUAGAGAGAGAAGGGGUUUCGCAACAGUUUAUAUACAGUUCAUGGAAUAUCAAAGCGGUAAAAGCAAUCAAUUAGUACAUUAGGCCCAAAUCAUGUAACACAAUUAGAUAAUAGAUAAAGCCCACUAUAACAAUUAGUCUAAGUUCGAAUUCUUGAACCCUGAAUAAGAGAUUCUGGGUUCGAUCCCCAGCAGAGUCGCCAGAGCUGUCACACCUCAUUUUUACCUACACUCCCCAGAAGGGAGUAUAAAAGGGUUUUUUCCAACUUAAAAUGACAAUCAAAACGGGAUUUAUUGUUAAAAGAUUCAGAGUCGCCACUUGGGAGAUUUAUGGUGUCCCAAGUCACCAGUUGAAUCCCGAAUCGAGGAAAAGCUUGACUCUGUUUAACAGUCCGCGAACCAGAAAUUCGGGUAAGGAAUUCUGCUAACCCGGAAGAAGGUGUUAGGCAUUCCCGAGUUUCGUGGUUCUAGCACGGUCGCUCAACCGUUAUAUUCUGCUUAAUUAUCUGAUUUUAGUACAUUUUAAACCUAUGUGCAUUUUAAAACUUUAACCGCUUUUAGUCAUUUUAGGAAUAUUGCAACGUUAUUAAAACACGUUUUGAACCACGUCACAUAAAUGCACCUGUGGUCCCCGACACAUUUUAUCCAACGUUGUUGAGAUUUGGAUUUGGGUCACAUAAAUGCGCACCCGAGUUUAGCAAGGUAAAUUAUUAACUAGCUCGCCUAAAGCAAGCUACGCAUUUGAAUUAUUCCUAAUUUUUGAGAUUGUUAUAAGGCCAAAUUUAUGAACAAGACAUUGUUGAGGCCAAAGGCUAGCUAACAUGAUCUAUUACUUGGCUCAAAUUCCUUAUGGUUCAAAACCCACCUUAUGACCCAUUUCUAUUCCUUGCCAAGAAAGAAACAACUCCAAUUUUCCAUCUACCCAAUUAAAAGUAAUUAUUCAAGAACCAAGAUUAUGUACAUCACAAUCGAAAUACAAACUAAUUAAAAUGAUUUAAUUGAAAACUAAGACAUGCUACUCAAACAUCGUAGAAACAAAAAUCAACCAACACGCGCACCGAGUUAUCAUAGCACAAUAAAAUGAGAAUGAAAAUUGAAGAAUGGACCUUUUAUUGAUGAACAAAGCUGAAAAUUGCAUAUCAAUCGGGUUAAACAAAAUAACAAUCCUUGGACCGAAACAUCGAAAUUAUUAACGUGAACCUUGAAUCAACACCGGAAUCAACCUCGACGUGCAACUGAACAAGGACCUCGUCUGUCAUCCAUUUUACCAAUUCCAAUGCUAACAUUAAAUCCAAACGUUUUCCUUCAGCUUAUAAUUUGAUAUUUUCCUUCCGUUUUUGACCAAUUCCAACAUCUCACUUUCUCUAUUGGAUCAGAACUUAAAGUAACAUUAAAGUUUCUGUCCAAAUGUCGUUUCCCCAUCUUUGUGUGUGUGUAUUUUGUGUUAUGAGAAUAAGAGCUCCAUUUCUUUCUUUUUAGUCCUGUGUAUGCGUGGCUGCUCGUUAACAACAGAACAAUGGAGUAGCGGCUAUGGACUCUUUUUCUGUCCCUUUUUUUGCUUCUGGUGGUUGCUGCGCCGUUUUUCUUUUUGUUUUAUAGGUCUAGGAAAUGAAAACUUGGGGGUAGGGUUCUAUAAUUGGGUAUUUUAUUUGAGAGUAGGAAAGGAUGAUGACC